Molecule: ribosomal RNA, 425 nt
Filed under: uncultured bacterium
Lineage: Bacteria
Description: bacterial SSU rRNA
Rfam family: Bacterial small subunit ribosomal RNA
Source: RNAcentral
GUGGGGAAUAUUGGACAAUGGGGGCAACCCUGAUCCAGCCAUGCCGCGUGAGUGAUGAAGGCCUUCGGGUUGUAAAGCUCUUUUGGCGGGGACGAUGAUGACGGUACCCGCAGAAUAAGCCCCGGCUAACUUCGUGCCAGCAGCCGCGGUAAGACGAAGGGGGCUAGCGUUGUUCGGAAUUACUGGGCGUAAAGCGAGUGUAGGUGGUUGUCAUAGUCAGGUGUGAAAGCCUUGAGCUCAACUCAAGAAAUGCACUUGAUACUGGGCGACUAGAGGACCGGAGAGGAUAGUGGAAUUCCCAGUGUAGUGGUGAAAUACGUAGAGAUUGGGAAGAACACCAGUGGCGAAGGCGGCUAUCUGGACGGUUUCUGACACUAAGACUCGAAAGCGUGGGGAGCAAACAGGAUUAGAUACCCGAGUAGUCC